Rhagoletis pomonella (apple maggot) is the source of this 1884-nucleotide long non-coding RNA. RefSeq lists it as uncharacterized. The record is from RefSeq and is a predicted model, not a curated record. NCBI's taxonomy places the organism in Eukaryota, Metazoa, Arthropoda, Insecta, Diptera, Tephritidae. The transcript has 3 exons.
CCACAACUCUCAAAAUCGGCAAAACCAAAGUAGCGGUACCACUGACGGCGCCACCUUUGUUCGCUGCACCGUACACCAGUACACAUAGGUUUAAGACUAGAAUAUUCUGUACCUACCCUUACACGCUGAGUCCUACCUUCUAGGUAGCUGCUCAUCAAUCGUACAGCAGACUCCCCGAAGCCAAAGUUAUUACGUAAUUUUAUGCAAAGUAGUCUAUGGUUGACCGAGUCGAAGGCUUUAGAGAAGUCUAGCAAGCAUAACAAAGUUAAUUGGACUGUACACGAAGGUUUUUUAGAUUACGCCACAAAACAUUAUUCGGAUGGGGUGGGUUUAACAUUUUACCAAAGAACUUGCGCUUUUCACACUUAAUAAGAGCAGUUGUCUUAUUUCGUACAGACUUAUAGGCUUGCCAGUUGAUAUCGGUUCGGUUCUUCUUCCAAAUAGAGUACGAUUUGUUACGUUUUAUAAUCAUAGACCGAACGACUUUGUUGAACCAAAAGCACGACGGUGAUCGAUUGAGAUGAAAAUCUCAACUUUUCAUUCACAGAGCUUAGGCUCCAACAACCACUCCAAUCAAUGCGGGAUAAGUCAGCAGAUAGACUAUCAAUAUUUAUCAGACGAUAGUCAGGAAAGUUAUGUAGACUAGCUGCUACAUUAUGACUAAAACUGGUGUCAAAUGCACAGAGAAUUAGAUUGCGAUCAAAAAUAAACGACAUCUGGCCAAAUUUUAACACAGUAGACGGAUCAGAAACAAUGAAGUAAUCAAACAGACAAGGACAACAGUUAUUUCCGUACCUUAUAAUAUCAUCAUAAUCGACAGCUAUAACAGACAAUAUAUUAAAAAACGCAUUCACGCUACAACACUUGUGAGGGUUAUACACACACGACAAAAGGACCUUUGAUGAAGAAUUAGAUACCUCAACUAGCAAAUACUCAGUGGUAUUACCAACCGAUUGCGAAACUAGGCGAGUUUUUAGAUAUUUCUUGCAAUACAUCGCCACUCCACCACUCUUCUUAUCUAAUCUGUCGGCCCGAACUAGCUUAUAAUUAUUAAUGGAAAAGUGUGAAUCACAUAUACCAGCCCUAAAUCACGUCUCCGACACACAAAUAACAUCAAUACACGAAUAUUCAAAAGUCCUCCUAACAACAUCCAUCUUCUCAUUGUUUAAACUGCGUGCAUUAAAAUGAACCACAUUAAAGCCUUUCUGUCGGCUGCAUAAAAUAUUAAGUACUGCAAGGCUAUUUAAUUUAUUCGUCAUAACAGUUAGGAAAAGCAAAAACAAAAACAACUUUAAGAUAGUGAAGAAAUGACGAAAAACAGAAACAAGAAAAGCGCUAUCUUUAAUAAAUAUAAAAUACAACAAAAAAUAUCUGAAAAUAUAUGCAUAACUAUACAUCUAACGAAACGGCAGCAGGUCAUCAUCGCUGAUUAAUCUUGUUGAUAUGCUAUUAUUAUUUUCAUCUCUCACAUGCACAAAACCUCUAAAUGUAUACACCUUUAGCAGUUUUCUUUCACGACGCAGUUUUAUGGCCUCUUGCAGUAAACGUCUAUUCUCCUUGGUGAGGCCCUCAAAAAUAUGAAAGCUGCCAGCAAUGCCAAGGGGGUGAAGGGGGGGACCGCCGAUUUAGUUUUCUUGCGAUAUUCGCCAAAGGCGCGUAAAGUGCGGCUACGAUCGAGAGGGGAGUGAAAUUUAAUCACAAUUGCACUGUCGAGUUUUUCACUUGACGAUUUUGUGCGGAAAAUAUCCCUAAUUUGAGGAGCCUAGAAGUCAAUAGAAAGACAAACUUGGUUAAAAAUACUCUUAAGGUUUUCCCCUUCUUUGAAUGGUACACCAAAAGCAUUACACUUUCUAACUCCUUCUUAAUGCAACCACCUAGGGAUGC